AUGCAAGUCGAGCGAAGCUUUUCAGUAGUUUACUACAGAAAAUGACUGAGCGGCGAACGGGUGAGUAACGCGUGAGCAACCUACCUUAGUUACUGGGAUAGCCCGAGGAAACUCGGAUUAAUACCGGAUAUUCUUAUUUAAUCACAUGAUUUUUUAAGGAAAGGUCAGCCGAACUAAGAUGGGCUCGCGUUCUAUCAGCUAGUUGGUAGGGUAACGGCCUACCAAGGCUACGACGGAUAGCUGGUCUGAGAGGACGAUCAGCCACACUGGGACUGAGACACGGCCCAGACUCCUACGGGAGGCUGCAGCAGGGAAUAUUGUGCAAUGAACGAAAGCUUGACACAGCGACACCGCGUGUGGGAUGACGGAUCUAGGUUUGUAAACCACUUUCAGGAGGGAAGAAAAUGACGGUACCUCCACAAGAAGCCCCGGCCAACUACGUGCCAGCAGCCGCGGUAAUACGUAGGGGGCGAGCGUUGUCCGGAUUUAUUGGGCGUAAAGAGCUCGUAGGCGGUUCAACAAGUCGGUCGUGAAAGUUCAGGGCUCAACUCUGAAAUGUCGAUCGAUACUGUUGUGACUAGGAUACGGCAGAGGUGAGUGGAAUUCCGAGUGUAGCGGUGAAAUGCGUAGAUAUUCGGAGGAACACCAAUUGCGAAGGCAGCUCACUGGGCCGCUAUCGACGCUGAGGAGCGAAAGCUAGGGGAGCAAACAGGAUUAGAUACCCUGGUAGUCCUAGCUGUAAACGAUGGAUACUAGAUGUAGGAAUUGGUUUAACGAUUUCUGUAUCGUAGCUAACGCGUUAAGUAUCCCGCCUGGGGAGUACGGUCGCAAGACUAAAACUCAAAGGAAUUGACGGGACCCCGCACAAGCGGCGGAGCAUGCGGCUUAAUUCGAUGAUACCCGUAGAACCUUACCUGGACUUGACAUAUAGGGAAAAGUUAUA
RNAcentral lists this ribosomal RNA (943 nucleotides) under uncultured marine bacterium. Its description in RNAcentral is "bacterial SSU rRNA". It matches the Rfam family "Bacterial small subunit ribosomal RNA", at positions 55 to 1003 of the family's 1533-position model. The record is from RNAcentral.